CGUAGGGUGCGAGCGUUAAUCGGAAUUACUGGGCGUAAAGCGUGCGCAGGCGGUUUUGUAAGCCAGAUGUGAAAUCCCCGGGCUUAACCUGGGAAUGGCAUUUGGGACUGCAAGGCUUGAGUUUGGCAGAGGAGACUGGAAUUCCCGGUGUAGCAGUGAAAUGCGUAGAUAUCGGGAGGAAUACCGAUGGCGAAGGCAGGUCUCUGGGCUAUAACUGACGCUCAUGCACGAAAGCGUGGGGAGCAAACAGGAUUAGAUACCCUGGUAGUCCACGCCCUAAACGAUGUCGACUGGUUGUUGGGGGUUUGACACUCUCAGUAACGAAGCUAACGCGUGAAGUCGACCGCCUGGGGAGGACGGCCGCAAGGUUA
RNAcentral lists this ribosomal RNA (371 nucleotides) under uncultured organism. RNAcentral's name for it is "bacterial SSU rRNA". It matches the Rfam family "Bacterial small subunit ribosomal RNA", at positions 526 to 896 of the family's 1533-position model. The record is from RNAcentral.